GGGUGUGAAGGUGAUCUGGCUACGACACCUGACACCCACUGAUCGCCAGGGUUGAUUUGGCUGAUCUGCCUGGGUAGGGCAAGUGUCUGUCUGCUUUCUCUCUCACCACUCCAUGCUGUUCUUCCUGAAGCCAGGAGCUCUGUCAAAGAGGACGGUUCUCACCAAAUAAAGGAGGACCAGUCUUUGGUCAAGGGUAUACAAGUAGUUGCACAACCCUGCUAGAAGCUUCACAAAAGCCCUCCAAACACAGCAGGCAUUUUGGCACAGACACAACUCCUGAAAAAUACUCUAUCUUCCCUGACAGACUGAAACAAUGA
Molecule: small nuclear RNA, 317 nt
Filed under: Jaculus jaculus (lesser Egyptian jerboa)
Lineage: Eukaryota; Metazoa; Chordata; Mammalia; Rodentia; Dipodidae
Description: 7SK RNA (ENSJJAG00000009346.1)
Rfam family: 7SK RNA
About the family: 7SK was discovered as an abundant small nuclear RNA in the mid-70s but a possible function has only recently been suggested. Two independent studies have found that 7SK RNA binds the CDK9/cyclin T complex (known as elongation factor P-TEFb).
Source: Rfam by way of RNAcentral